This 482-nucleotide ribosomal RNA is filed under the name uncultured bacterium. RNAcentral's name for it is "partial 16S ribosomal RNA". It matches the Rfam family "Bacterial small subunit ribosomal RNA", at positions 30 to 507 of the family's 1533-position model. The record is from RNAcentral.
AUUGAACGCUGGCGGCAUGCUUUACACAUGCAAGUCGAACGGUAACAGGCCGCAAGGUGCUGACGAGUGGCGAACGGGUGAGUAAUGCAUCGGAACGUGCCCAGUCGUGGGGGAUAACUACUCGAAAGAGUAGCUAAUACCGCAUACGAUCUAUGGGUGAAAGCGGGGGACCGUAAGGCCCCGCGCGAUUGGAGCGGCCGAUGUCAGAUUAGGUAGUUGGUGGGGUAAAGGCUCACCAAGCCAACGAUCUGUAGCUGGUCUGAGAGGACAACCAGCCACACUGGGACUGAGACACGGCCCAGACUCCUACGGGAGGCAGCAGUGGGGAAUUUUGGACAAUGGGCGCAAGCCUGAUCCAGCAAUGCCGCGUGCAGGAAGAAGGCCUUCGGGUUGUAAACUGCUUUUGUACGGAACGAAACGGCUCUGGUUAAUACCCGGGGCUAAUGACGGUACCGUAAGAAUAAGCACCGGCUAACUACGUG